This 450-nucleotide ribosomal RNA is filed under the name uncultured bacterium. RNAcentral's name for it is "bacterial SSU rRNA". It matches the Rfam family "Bacterial small subunit ribosomal RNA", at positions 29 to 524 of the family's 1533-position model. The record is from RNAcentral.
AACGAACGCUGGCGGCAUGCCUAACACAUGCAAGUCGAACGAGACCUUCGGGUCUAGUGGCGCACGGGUGCGUAACACGUGGGAAUUUGCCUCGGGGUAUGGAAUAACUCAGGGAAACUUGAGCUAAUACCAUAUAAUGUCUUCGGACCAAAGAUUUAUCGCCCUGAGAUAAGCCCGCGUAGGAUUAGCUAGUUGGUGAGGUAAAGGCUCACCAAGGCGACGAUCCUUAGCUGGUCUGAGAGGAUGAUCAGCCACACUGGGACUGAGACACGGCCCAGACUCCUACGGGAGGCAGCAGUGGGGAAUAUUGGACAAUGGGGGCAACCCUGAUCCAGCAAUGCCGCGUGAGUGAUGAAGGCCUUAGGGUUGUAAAGCUCUUUUGCCAGGGAAGAUGAUGACUGUACCUGGAGAAUAAGCCCCGGCUAACUUCGUGCCAGCAGCCGCGGUAAU